AUUGAACGCUGGCGGCAUGCCUUACACAUGCAAGUCGAACGGUAACAGGUCUUCGGAUGCUGACGAGUGGCGAACGGGUGAGUAAUACAUCGGAACGUGCCCGAUCGUGGGGGAUAACGAGGCGAAAGCUUUGCUAAUACCGCAUACGAUCUACGGAUGAAAGCGGGGGAUCUUCGGACCUCGCGCGGACGGAGCGGCCGAUGGCAGAUUAGGUAGUUGGUGGGAUAAAAGCUUACCAAGCCGACGAUCUGUAGCUGGUCUGAGAGGAUGAUCAGCCACACUGGGACUGAGACACGGCCCAGACUCCUACGGGAGGCAGCAGUGGGGAAUUUUGGACAAUGGGCGAAAGCCUGAUCCAGCCAUGCCGCGUGCAGGAUGAAGGUCUUCGGAUUGUAAACUGCUUUUGUACGGAACGAAAAGCCUCUUUCUAAUAAAGAGGGGUCAUGACGGUACCGUAAGAAUAAGCACCGGCUAACUACGUG
RNAcentral lists this ribosomal RNA (482 nucleotides) under uncultured bacterium. RNAcentral describes it as "partial 16S ribosomal RNA". It matches the Rfam family "Bacterial small subunit ribosomal RNA", at positions 30 to 507 of the family's 1533-position model. The record is from RNAcentral.